CGGAGGGUGCAAGCGUUAUCCGGAUUCACUGGGUUUAAAGGGUGUGUAGGCGGGCAGUUAAGUCAGUGGUGAAAUCUCCGGGCUCAACCCGGAAACUGCCAUUGAUACUAAUUGUCUUGAAUAUCGUUGAGGCAGGCGGAAUAUGUCAUGUAGCGGUGAAAUGCAUAGAUAUGACAUAGAACUCCAAUUGCGAAGGCAGCUUGCUAAACGAUCAUUGACGCUGAGGCACGAAAGCGUGGGGAUCAAACAGGAUUAGAUACCCUGGUAGUCCACGCCCUAAACGAUGAUUACUCGACAUACGCGAUACACAGUGUGUGUCUGAGCGAAAGCAUUAAGUAAUCCACCUGGGAAGUACGUCCGCAAGGAUG
RNAcentral lists this ribosomal RNA (368 nucleotides) under uncultured organism. RNAcentral's name for it is "bacterial SSU rRNA". It matches the Rfam family "Bacterial small subunit ribosomal RNA", at positions 526 to 896 of the family's 1533-position model. The record is from RNAcentral.